GGGUUGGUAGCUCAGUUGGUAGAGCAGCCCCGAAAGUUUUCGGGGUUGGUUCAGGGUUCGAGUCCCUGACGAAACA
This 76-nucleotide transfer RNA is filed under the name Verrucomicrobiota bacterium. Its description in RNAcentral is "Verrucomicrobia bacterium tRNA-OTHER". It matches the Rfam family "tRNA". From Rfam's summary of the family: Transfer RNA (tRNA) molecules are approximately 80 nucleotides in length. Their secondary structure includes four short double-helical elements and three loops (D, anti-codon, and T loops). Further hydrogen bonds mediate the characteristic L-shaped molecular structure. tRNAs have two regions of fundamental functional importance: the anti-codon, which is responsible for specific mRNA codon recognition, and the 3' end, to which the tRNAs corresponding amino acid is attached (by aminoacyl-tRNA synthetases). tRNAs cope with the degeneracy of the genetic code in two manners: having more than one tRNA (with a specific anti-codon) for a particular amino acid; and 'wobble' base-pairing, i.e. permitting non-standard base-pairing at the 3rd anti-codon position. Lineage: Bacteria; Pseudomonadati; Verrucomicrobiota. The record is from RNAcentral.